GAGUUUGAUCCUGGCUCAGGACGAACGCUGGCGGCGUGCCUAAUACAUGCAAGUCGAGCGAACCAAUUGAAAGCCUAGCUUUCAUGAGGUUAGCGGCGGACGGGUGAGUAACACGUGGGUAACCUGCCCUAUAGACUGGGAUAACUCGCGGAAACGCGUGCUAAUACCGGAUAACACAUCAGAGUGCAUGCUUUGGUGUUGAAAGAUGGUUCUGCUAUCACUAUAGGAUGGGCCCGCGGCGCAUUAGCUUGUUGGUGGGGUAACGGCCUACCAAGGCGACGAUGCGUAGCCGACCUGAGAGGGUGAUCGGCCACACUGGGACUGAGACACGGCCCAGACUCCUACGGGAGGCAGCAGUAGGGAAUCUUCCACAAUGGGCGAAAGCCUGAUGGAGCAACGCCGCGUGAGCGAAGAAGGUCUUCGGAUCGUAAAGCUCUGUUGUAAGGGAAGAACAAGUGCAGUAGUAACUGGCUGCACCUUGACGGUACCUUACUAGAAAGCCACGGCUAACUACGUGCCAGCAGCCGCGGUAAUACGUAGGUGGCAAGCGUUGUCCGGAAUUAUUGGGCGUAAAGCGCGCGCAGGCGGUCUCUUAAGUCUGAUGUGAAAGCCCCCGGCUUAACCGGGGAGGGUCAUUGGAAACUGGGAGACUUGAGUGCAGGAGAGGGAAGCGGAAUUCCAUGUGUAGCGGUGAAAUGCGUAGAGAUAUGGAGGAACACCAGUGGCGAAGGCGGCUUCCUGGCCUGUAACUGACGCUGAGGCGCGAAAGCGUGGGGAGCAAACAGGAUUAGAUACCCUGGUAGUCCACGCCGUAAACGAUGAGUGCUAAGUGUUANGGGGUUUCCACCCCUUAGUGCUGCAGCUAACGCAUAAAGCACUCCGCCUGGGGGAGUACGGUCGCAAGACUGAAA
This 911-nucleotide ribosomal RNA is filed under the name uncultured bacterium. RNAcentral's name for it is "bacterial SSU rRNA". It matches the Rfam family "Bacterial small subunit ribosomal RNA", at positions 9 to 899 of the family's 1533-position model. The record is from RNAcentral.